This 471-nucleotide long non-coding RNA is filed under the name Homo sapiens (human). RNAcentral's name for it is "LHRI_LNC982.1". The record is from RNAcentral. Lineage: Eukaryota; Metazoa; Chordata; Mammalia; Primates; Hominidae.
GGUGACACCAUGAAAUCUUGUUUCAGCCAGUUCUGCAGGUCCUGACUCUGCAGAGGGAAGAGGCAGAAAGAGAGAAACUGUCAGAGUAUAAUUUCACCUGAGUUUAAUAUUACAGAAACAAAGGGAUGCACCAAAUGGUAUUUCUGGAAAUUUUCAUGUCUUUAAAUACCCCUUGGUAAGUUGCCUCUGAAGCCAGUGGGGGCUCCUCAGAUAGAGAUGUUCCCCUUUCAAAUCCCAGUGCCGCUCUGUUCUCUUUCCUUCCCCUCCCACUCCCCCUCUUCUUCCUCUGUAGAGAUGCAAGAAAUUGCUGUCCCAUAAAAAUCAUAAUUGCAGUAGCUAAAGCUGGGGUCACUUCGUAAAUUCAUCAGAGACUCAAAGAUCUUUUAUUGGCUCUGGGCUGUGCUCAGUGUCUUUGGCCUCAGAGAACAACUUGAAUGACUUCCUGGUUUCCUGGCAUAAAUUAUUCCUGGU